Molecule: transfer RNA, 76 nt
Filed under: Holosporaceae bacterium
Lineage: Bacteria; Pseudomonadati; Pseudomonadota; Alphaproteobacteria; Holosporales; Holosporaceae
Description: tRNA-Phe
Rfam family: tRNA
About the family: Transfer RNA (tRNA) molecules are approximately 80 nucleotides in length. Their secondary structure includes four short double-helical elements and three loops (D, anti-codon, and T loops).
Source: RNAcentral
GCCCGGGUAGCUCAGUUGAUAGAGCAGAGGACUGAAAAUCCUUGUGUCGUUGGUUUGAUUCCAGCCCUGGGCACCA